GUUCGAACCUGCGGGGUCACACACAUUAGAGGUUCCUAUCUGAUCUGAUGGCUGAUGAAGAGUCCUAAUGCUCAUGGACUAUGAGUCCUACGUGUCUGAGACUCUGUGAUCGAGAAUCAGAUUCUCUGAUCAUGAGUCCCACACAUUUUGGGUACUGGGGUCAAGAGUCCCACUGGUUUGGGACUCUUCGAUCAGGGUUACAUAUUGAUGAAUUCUGAUG
RNAcentral lists this long non-coding RNA (220 nucleotides) under Elaeis guineensis (African oil palm). RNAcentral describes it as "long non-coding RNA (EGUI_LNC077701)". Lineage: Eukaryota; Viridiplantae; Streptophyta; Magnoliopsida; Arecales; Arecaceae. The record is from RNAcentral.